GACGAACGCUGGCGGCGUGCCUAAUACAUGCCAGUUGAGCGAUGAAGAUUGGUGCUUGCACCAAUUUGAAGAGCAGCGAACGGGUGAGUAACGCGUGGGGAAUCUGCCUUUGAGCGGGGGACAACAUUUGGAAACGAAUGCUAAUACCGCAUAAUAACUUUAAACAUAAGUUUUAAGUUUGAAAGAUGCAAUUGCAUCACUCAAAGAUGAUCCCGCGUUGUAUUAGCUAGUUGGUGAGGUAAAGGCUCACCAAGGCGAUGAUACAUAGCCGACCUGAGAGGGGGAGCGGCCACAGUGGGACGGAGACAAGGCCCAAACUCCUACGGGAGGCAGCAGUAGGGAAUCUUCGGCAAUGGACGAAAGUCUGACCGAGCAACGCCGCGUGAGUGAAGAAGGGUUUCGGAUCGUAAAACUCUGUUGGUAGAGAAGAACGUUGGUGAGAGUGGAAAGCUCAUCAAGUGACGGUAACUACCCAGAAAGGGACGGCUAACUACGUG
This 497-nucleotide ribosomal RNA is filed under the name uncultured bacterium. RNAcentral describes it as "partial 16S ribosomal RNA". It matches the Rfam family "Bacterial small subunit ribosomal RNA", at positions 28 to 507 of the family's 1533-position model. The record is from RNAcentral.